Molecule: ribosomal RNA, 459 nt
Filed under: uncultured bacterium
Lineage: Bacteria
Description: partial 16S ribosomal RNA
Rfam family: Bacterial small subunit ribosomal RNA
Source: RNAcentral
CCUACGGGAGGCAGCAGUGAGGAAUAUUGGUCAAUGGCCGCAGGGCUGAACCAGCCAAGUCGCGUGAGGGAUGACGGUCCUAUGGAUUGUAAACCUCUUUUGUCAGGGAGCAAAGGGCGCCACGUGUGGCGUUUUGCGAGUACCUGAAGAAAAAGCAUCGGCUAACUCCGUGCCAGCAGCCGCGGUAAUACGGAGGAUGCGAGCGGUCUCCGGAUUUAUUGGGGAUAAAGGGUGCGUCGGCGGAAUGUUAAUGUAGCGGUAAAAGUUCGGGUCUCAACCCCGGUGUGCCGUUGAAACUGGCGUUCUUUGGUGAGCGAGAAGUAUGCGGAAUGGGUGGUGUAGCGGUGAAAUGCAUAGAUAUCACGCAGAACUCCGAUUGCGAAGGCAGCAUACCGGCGCUCAACUGACGCUCAUGCACGAAAGCGUGGGUAUCGAACAGGAUUAGAUACCCCUGUAGUC